GUGGCGCACGGGUGCGUAACGCGUGGGAAUCUGCCCUUUGCUUCGGAAUAACUUCGGGAAACUGAAGCUAAUACCGGAUAAUGUCGCAAGACCAAAGAUUUAUCGGCAAGGGAUGAGCCCGCGUAGGAUUAGGUAGUUGGUGGGGUAAAGGCCUACCAAGCCGACGAUCAGUAGCUGGUCUGAGAGGAUGUGCAGCCACACUGGGACUGAGACACGGCCCAGACUCCUACGGGAGGCAGCAGUGGGGAAUUUUCCGCAAUGGGCGAAAGCCUGACGGAGCAAUACCGCGUGAGGGAGGAAGGCUCUUGGGUUGUAAACCUCAAAACUUAGGGAAGAAAAAAAUGACGGUACCUAAUGUAAGCAUCGGCUAACUCCGUGCCAGCAGCCGCGGUAAUACGGAGGAUGCAAGCGUUAUCCGGAAUCAUUGGGCGUAAAGAGUCCGUAGGUGGCACUUCAAGUCUGCUUUCAAAGACCGAAGCUCAACUUCGGAAAGGGAGUGGAAACUGAAGAGCUAGAGUAUAGUAGGGGUAGAGGGAAUUCCUAGUGUAGCGGUGAAAUGCGUAGAGAUUAGGAAGAACACCAGUGGCGAAGGCGCUCUACUGGGCAUAUACUGACACUGAGGGACGAAAGCUAGGGGAGCGAAAGGGAUUAGAUACCCCUGUAGUCCUA
Molecule: ribosomal RNA, 669 nt
Filed under: uncultured cyanobacterium
Lineage: Bacteria; Bacillati; Cyanobacteriota
Description: bacterial SSU rRNA
Rfam family: Bacterial small subunit ribosomal RNA
Source: RNAcentral